GGACCUGGGCCAUCUUCUACUGCUUUCCCAGGACGUAGCAGAGAGCCGGAUCGGAAGAGGAACAGCCGGGACUAGAACCGGCGCCCAUGUGGGAUGCCGGAGCUUCAGGCCAGGGCUUUCACCUGCUGCACCACAGCGCCAGCCCCUGUUGGUUUUUUUAAAGCAUCGUUUAUCUGGAGCAUGGAACUCUGGCGCCUGGCACCAGCCCCAGCCCAGCCUGCCCUGUCCACCAGCCUGGCCCCAGCUUCCCCUGGUGGAGCCCGGGAGCCUCUGUGGUCACCCGGGAAGCCCAGCAGGGCUGCUGGCCUCGUCCCAGCCCCGGCAGGUGCUCAGGCGCGGGCCGGGAGCGCUCACCACUGCCUGGCCCGCGCCUCCCCAGGUGAGCCCCGCCCCUGGCGUGUGCACUGCUCUCUGGGCGUUCCAGGCAGCGUCUGCCUUGUUUGGUUUGGAACUCAGCACCCGAGAAAGUCACGCCCCAGAGAAACCAACCCCUCGGGGGUGACCGCCUGGCACACCUGGCCCCGGCGCCACUCCUGCACCUGCAGCUGGGCCGGGUGCUGGGACGUCCCCUUGGCGUUUUAUUAUUGCUGUCCUGUGUGAGACGUCGCACUGCUGCCUUCACUUCUGGUCACUGAGAGCCACGGGGGCACCUGGCGGCCCCGGCGGGCCCCGUCUCCGGCAGGGCUGCCCCUGGGUGAGCACCUCCCCGGUGGGGCUGGGCGGGCCGCUCCUGCAGGCUGGGCCUCUGUUUCCCGGCUGCAGGUUGUCCUGGCCCCCUGCUGCCCUGUGCGGGGCUGGGGGGGGCAGGGGGGGAGCCUGGGGGCUGCCUGCGCCCUUUGAGGGGAAGGAACCCAGUGACAGCGCCAGUCCAGACUGGACAAGAGAACACACAUCGGAGAUCGAGGACCACAGCGUUCGGAUUCGGGGGCAGAGACCGCCCCGCCCCAGCCCCUGGCCCUGCGCGGAAACAAAGCCCCUUGCACCUGGAGCCCCGGGUGCCGGCAUCCAGGCCGCCCUGAAGAGUCUGGGGGAGAACACGGCUCGGCCACCAGCUCGGCGCCAGCCCAGCGGCCCCGGCUCCCACACUGGGGCUGCUGAGGCCCCCCGGAGGCUGACUCCCUGUGUCCAGGGCCUUUUCCUGGAGAUCACUCAGGCCCCGAUAUGAUCGCCGUGGGACAGGCGGAAAUUGGAACGUCCCCGGUGCUUGAUCGAGCCGGGCUGCCAGCCGCGGCCGCAGGGACAUUAGAAGCCGGCGUAAUGGCCCUCAUUCCGCUCCCUCACAGCCCCUUGACCUUGGGCAGCUCGGGAGCCCGGUGCUGUUUUAAUGAAAAAUCAGGAGUUAGGGAAAUGGGCAGGGCUGGUGGGGAGGGCCUGGGGACCCCCGGAGAGACAAAGAAAUCCCCACCUCCGGCGUGCUCCAACCAACCGGUGAUGAGGGAGUGGAGGGACCCCCACCCCCACCCCCACCAGGGGACCCUCCGGGACCAGGGACCCUCCUCAAACCUCCCACCCAACCCCCACCCAGCCCCCAAACCCACUUGACAGAGCCCUCGGGAGACCGGGGCUGACCACAGCUCUCUGCAGGGAACCAGGCCUGGCUCCCUCCUGAGGGCCCGGCAGGGAGGCCGGACUGGGGUCUGCAGCUCACCGCGCACAUGGCGGUGGGUGCUGGGGGCACAUGGGGAGUCGGGGCAGGG
Molecule: non-coding RNA, 1697 nt
Organism: Oryctolagus cuniculus (rabbit)
Lineage: Eukaryota; Metazoa; Chordata; Mammalia; Lagomorpha; Leporidae
Source: RefSeq, a predicted model, not a curated record